This 253-nucleotide ribosomal RNA is filed under the name uncultured bacterium. RNAcentral describes it as "partial 16S ribosomal RNA". It matches the Rfam family "Bacterial small subunit ribosomal RNA", at positions 524 to 776 of the family's 1533-position model. The record is from RNAcentral.
UACAGAGGUGGCAAGCGUUUCUCGGAAUUACUGGGCGUAAAGGGCGCGUAGGCGGCCUACUAAGUCAGACGUGAAAUCCCCCGGCUUAACCUGGGAACUGCGUCUGAUACUGGAAGGCUUGAGGUUGGGAGAGGGAUGUAGAAUUCCAGGUGUAGCGGUGAAAUGCGUAGAUAUCUGGAGGAAUACCGGUGGCGAAGGCGGCAUCCUGGACCAUAACUGACGCUGAGGAGCGAAAGCUAGGGGAGCAAACGGG